Molecule: ribosomal RNA, 719 nt
Filed under: uncultured anaerobic ammonium-oxidizing bacterium
Lineage: Bacteria
Description: bacterial SSU rRNA
Rfam family: Bacterial small subunit ribosomal RNA
Source: RNAcentral
GAGCACGUAGGUGGGUUUGUAAGUCAGGUGUGAAAGCCUUCUGUUCAAAGGAAGAACGGCAUCUGAAACUGCAGAUCUUGAGUGUAGGAGGGGAGAGUGGAACUUCUGGUGGAGCGGUGAAAUGCGUAGAUAUCAGAAGGAACGUCGGCGGCGAAAGCGACUCUCUGGCCUAUUACUGACACUGAGGUGCGAAAGUUAGGGGAGCAAACGGGAUUAGAUACCCCGGUAGUCCUAACCGUAAACGAUGGGCACUAAGUAGAGGGAAUUACCAAUGUUCUCUCUGCCGUAGCUAACGCAUUAAGUGCCCCGCCUGGGGAGUACGGCCGCAAGGCUAAAACUCAAAAGAAUUGACGGGGGCUCGCACAAGCGGUGGAGCAUGUGGCUUAAUUCGAUGCAACGCGAAAAACCUUACCGGGGUUUGACAUGGUAGAAGUAGGAGCCCGAAAGGGCAACCAACGGUAUCCAGUCCGUAGCUAUCACAGGUGUUGCAUGGCUGUCGUCAGCUCGUGUCGUGAGACGUUGGGUUAAGUCCCCUAACGAGCGAAACCCUUGUUUUUAGUUACCAUCGGGUGAUGCCGAGUACUCUAAAAAGACUGCCGUCGUCAAGACGGAGGAAGGUGGGGAUGACGUCAAGUCAUCAUGGCCCUUAUACCCCGGGCUGCACACGUGCUACAAUGGUCGGUACAAAAGGAAGCAAGACCGAGAGGUGAAGCGAAUCC